Molecule: non-coding RNA, 155 nt
Organism: Aedes aegypti (yellow fever mosquito)
Lineage: Eukaryota; Metazoa; Arthropoda; Insecta; Diptera; Culicidae
Source: Rfam
GCCGCUGGAGCCGUGAGCCGUGCCUUUUGGAGAUGGCCACACAAUUAUUGGCAACCCGAGCCGAUGGGAAUUCCUCCGUUCUUCCGGGCCAUCGUCGGCGGAAUGGCGUUCUUCUAUGCCAACUACGGCAAACUGAAGCACCACAGGAACUACAA